RNAcentral lists this unclassified non-coding RNA (336 nucleotides) under soil metagenome. Its description in RNAcentral is "partial contains 5.8S ribosomal RNA, internal transcribed spacer 2, and large subunit ribosomal RNA". The stretch from base 3 to 121 matches the Rfam family "5.8S ribosomal RNA", at positions 36 to 154 of the family's 154-position model. The record is from RNAcentral.
GAAUGAAGAACGUAGCGAAAUGCGAUAAGUAGUGUGAAUUGCAGAAUUCAGUGAAUCAUCGAAUCUUUGAACGCACAUUGCGCCCUAUGGUAUUCCGUAGGGCAUGCCUGUCCGAGCGUCAUUUGACCUCUUCAAGCUCUGCUUGGUGCUGGGCGCUUGUCCUGCCGAUAUGGCGUGGACUCGCCUUGAACUGAUUGGCGGCCGUCACCCCGGCUUUGAGUGCAGCACAUAUGCUCUCGACACCGUGGUAGCGGCUCCCAGGAAUACAUCUUCACUGGUUGACCUCGGAUCAGGUAGGGAUACCCGCUGAACUUAAGCAUAUCAAUAAGCGGAGGA